UACGUAGGGAGCAAGCGUUGUUCGGAUUUACUGGGCGUAAAGCGCACGUAGGCGGCUUUCUAAGUCGGGGGUGAAAUCCUGGAGCUCAACUCCAGAACUGCCUUCGAUACUGGAAAGCUCGAGUCCGGGAGAGGUGAGUGGAACUGCGAGUGUAGAGGUGAAAUUCGUAGAUAUUCGCAAGAACACCAGUGGCGAAGGCGGCUCACUGGCCCGGUACUGACGCUGAGGUGCGAAAGCGUGGGGAGCAAACAGG
Molecule: ribosomal RNA, 253 nt
Filed under: uncultured bacterium
Lineage: Bacteria
Description: partial 16S ribosomal RNA
Rfam family: Bacterial small subunit ribosomal RNA
Source: RNAcentral